RNAcentral lists this ribosomal RNA (253 nucleotides) under uncultured bacterium. RNAcentral describes it as "partial 16S ribosomal RNA". It matches the Rfam family "Bacterial small subunit ribosomal RNA", at positions 524 to 776 of the family's 1533-position model. The record is from RNAcentral.
UACGUAGGGUGCAAGCGUUGUCCGGAAUUAUUGGGCGUAAAGAGCUCGUAGGCGGCUUGUCACGUCGACUGUGAAAACCCGGGGCUCAACUCCGGGCCUGCAGUCGAUACGGGCUGGCUUGAGUGCGGUAGGGGAGACUGGAAUUCCUGGUGUAGCGGUGAAAUGCGCAGAUAUCAGGAGGAACACCGGUGGCGAAGGCGGGUCUCUGGGCCGUAACUGACGCUGAGGCGCGAAAGCUAGGGGAGCAAACGGG